GGUUUUCAUGAUUUGACAAGAUGUUUUCUUGCUGUUUAAUUUUAGACUCAACUGAUUGGAAAAUCUCUGCCCAUCACCUGCCCCCAACAUACAAAGCCACAAGACGGGAACACCGAUCCUUCCGGAAUCCGACGGCUGACAAUUUAGUGAGAUUUCUUAAGGUACCCAGUCCUACAGGAUUUUUCGAGAAAGUUGGAUCUACACAGCUUUUGCUGCUCUGUGAAACAACUAUGCACUGAACUUUACUGUUAGUGACUGGAGACACACAACUGAUCCACUCAUAUCCUGCUACUGUUCUUCAUCUGCUGAAUGUUUUUGACUCAAGCACUGCUGUACUGUUGCAAAGUCAAAGGUACUGAAUCAACUUCACUGACACAGGACUCACAUUCACUGAUAUGUUCAGGACACCAUUUGAUCACAAUAUAUAAUUCUGAUUACAGUGCAUUCAUCGUUUAUUUUAAAAGUUAACCUAUGAUGUAAACGUGUUUGUUCGGUAAUAAAAAAAAUAGUUUGCUUGAAACAACUGUUUACAUUUGCCUUUAUUUUCAACUUUACAAUGAACUGAAUUCUACUAUGAUCCCAUACUUUCUGGAUUGUUUUGAAAUAAAGUUUUGAAA
Pimephales promelas (fathead minnow) is the source of this 617-nucleotide non-coding RNA. The record is from RefSeq and is a predicted model, not a curated record. NCBI's taxonomy places the organism in Eukaryota, Metazoa, Chordata, Actinopteri, Cypriniformes, Leuciscidae.